AUGACUCUGAUGAUCAAUAAACA
This 23-nucleotide non-coding RNA is filed under the name Arabidopsis thaliana (thale cress). The record is from RNAcentral. Lineage: Eukaryota; Viridiplantae; Streptophyta; Magnoliopsida; Brassicales; Brassicaceae.